GGGAAUAGCUCAGUUGGUAGAGCACGACCUUGCCAAGGUCGGGGUCGCGAGUUCGAGUCUCGUUUCCCGCU
This 71-nucleotide transfer RNA is filed under the name Pseudomonas sp. NFACC42-2. RNAcentral's name for it is "tRNA_Gly_GCC". It matches the Rfam family "tRNA". Rfam says of the family: Transfer RNA (tRNA) molecules are approximately 80 nucleotides in length. Lineage: Bacteria; Pseudomonadati; Pseudomonadota; Gammaproteobacteria; Pseudomonadales; Pseudomonadaceae. The record is from RNAcentral.